UUCCUUUGGUAUGCUCCAAGAUGGCGGUCCACGUGGUGCGGCGCGGGGUCCUCUGGGCGCGGAAAGUGUCGCUGCCUCAGCUCUCCGUGACAGGUAAAAGAUGCCUACUUUCUGCAGCAUAUGUAGACAGCCACAAAUGGGAAGCAAGAGAAAAAGAAGAUUGUCACCUUGCUGAUCUGGCAUCUUUAAUGGAUAAAACAUAUGAGAGAAAGCUGCCUGUUAGUUCUUUAACAAUAUCACGGUUUGUGGACAACAUUUCAUCUCGAGAAGAGAUAGACCAUGCAGAGUAUUACCUGUACAAAUUUCGACACAGCCCCAACUGCUGGUACCUGAGAGAUUGGACUAUCCACACCUGGAUUAGGCAGUGUCUAAAAUAUGGUGCACAAGACAAGGCCUUAUAUACCCUUGUAAAUAAGGUCCAAUAUGGUAUUUUUCCAGAUAACUAUACAUUUAAUUUACUGAUGGAUCAUUUCAUAAAGGAAGAAAAUUACAAAGAUGCUCUGUCUGUGGUUUUUGAGAUCAUGAUGCAAGAAGCUUUUGAGGUUCCCUCCACCCAACUCCUCUCCCUCUACGUUUUAUACUACUGCCUGGCAAAGAAGACAGACUUCAGUUGGGAAGAGGAGAGGAACUUCGGUGCAUCCCUGUUACUCCCAGGCCUAAAGCAGAAGAAUUCGGUGGGGUUGAGUUCCCAGUUGUACGGCUAUGCGCUUCUUGGGAAGGUGGAAUUGCAGCAAGGGCUGCGGGCUGUGUACCAUAACAUGCCCCUGCUGUGGCAGCCAGGGUACCUCAACAGAGCCCUUCAAGUAAUGGAGAAGGUGGCCUCCUCCCCAGAAGACGGAAAACUGUGUAGAGAAGCGCUCGAUGUGCUGGACAGAGCGCUGAAGGUGGCUCUGACCGCUCCGGCCCAGGGGUCUUCAGAGGACCAGCCCCAAGAAGGUGAGAAGACCCAGAGGUCAGAAGAACUGGUGGAGCAGCUGGAUGUGGAGGAAACUGAACAGUCCAAGCUUCCCCGUUACCUGGAACGAUUUGAGGAAAACAGAAACUGAAGAAAAGUUACCUUCAAAGUAGAAAAGGACCAGCUGGAAGGAGAUGAACUCGUCACCAUCUCCGCCGUGCUCGGUCCGGAGGGAGUGGGAUAGAAACACACAGAGGGGUUCAGGGAUUUCAGAAUGCCUUCUGGUACACAGUGACUUCUGAUGGGACCUGUCGACCAGCCCCACGGCUUGGAAGCACAGUGUAGGAUUAAAAGGAGUGUUUGUGACAGAGGAACAUCAUUAUGACUUCAGACAGGCUGCAGUGGCCUUUUGAGGCCAAAGGACCAUCUCUGAGGACAGACAAGACCAGGUGUGAAUCCAAUCCACAGCAUAUUAUGUUAUAUAGAGCUUACUCUGUAACUGAGCAAGAAAGCAAAAAGGAGAUAACGUACUGGAUAUAAUGACCGAGUGCGAUGACUUUGUAGAGCCCCAGAAAGUCAGCCCUAGGAGGGAUCAUCCAGUUUGACCAUCUUGUCAAAUCCUCUCAUUUUACAGUUCUGAUCAUAGAAGCCGUUUCAGUCUUGAACUUGCAGUAGUAAAGAAGCUGUGAAAGGCUCAACUUGCUUGGCUGAGGGGCCUGAGGUGGUAUUCAACACGCAAUGCUCAGCAUCAGACUGUUGCACCAAUCAGGAGAACUGAAGAAUGGAAUGUUUCCCUUUGUGGACAACCCAUUAGGAAGAAGAGUUCAGGCCUUCCUCAAAGAUGGAACUAGAUUCCUUCUUCUUAGGAGAAGCCACUCGGGACACCUUAUCUGAGGAUUCCUUCAAGGCCCCUGGCUUGGGUGAAGCUGCAGAGGGCUUGGACUUCCCAUCACCCUUCUUGACAGGUAUUACAGGAUCACUGGAUGUACACAGGGCAAACGUCAGAGAUGUUGGUUGGUAAAUAUUUCCAUACUGGUAAGUGAACAGCCUCUGUCCUGACCACUCCUACCAUUCCCUUCUCCCUCAACUCCCUACUCCGCUCCCCCCUGCCCCAGGCACCUCCCCCUCAGACCUCGCCACCAUCUGUUCUUGCCCAGCAGGGGAUCUUCAGAACUCUGCUCCACUUCUAAGACUAGUGACCAUCUGGAUGAUCAGUGCCUGUGUGGUUAUGAAAUACUCUGGAUACAACCCCUGGGUACUUGCCAUGCAACAAUGCCCUUUAAAAAGUAACAAACUAUCACAGGGGAUGGCUCACUGAGUCAUUUCACCACUGAUAUGAAAUGUUUUCUUUUAUUCCACUGGGCUGGGCAAAAAGGACUGAUGACACAUUAAAUGAAUUUUGAUAUAGUGCACAUGGGGUCAAUUUUUAGAAUUUGGUAGGUAGAGAAGAAAAAAGUUUGGUGGGGUUUUUUUUUGCAUCUUGGAGACAGAAAGUUCUAGACUGCACAUUACUACAAAAAAUUACUGGUUCUGGCAUCAGUUCACACUACGUAAAGCAUGAGUAGUUCAUCCAGCAGAUUCUCUGCAAAUACAGACACUCGGAAACCAAGAUGGUCAGAGCAGUUGGAUAAUUAUGUGAGCAAGGAGCCAAAAUUUGUCCCCCAUUUGCUCUUGUUUGAAUCCAGGGUGAGAUCUUCUACUCUAUUACAACUCCUGGUCUUUUCAGGGCAAGCUGGGCAUGAGUGGCUAACAUCAAAUCUGGCUGAAAAGUUUUCAACACAUUGUUUAGUACUGCAGGAUGCGAAAUGCAGAAGAGUUAAUUGGGACCAAAACAGAGACUGUGACUUAAUGAAAAUGCUGUUUUCUUUCUCACUCCAUAUUAUGGCCCUAUGCCUAGUAGGUAGUGAGGGAGAAUCGUGCCAUAAACUCCAGUCUUCUUCCUUCAGUUAACAGCAAAGCUCGUAAAUCGGCUCAGCGUUUCCAGUGAAAAGAGCUCUGUGUCCUUAAUGGUAAAUGAUGAGGGCAAAGCAAAGAUUUCAUUUGGUCCAGGCAUCCCUGAGCCAGUGGGUCUAAACUCUUCCCUUCUAGUAUUGGAGUGGUUUUCUCUGUCUCAUACAACUUCCUGGAUACCAGCGUUCUGAGGCUACUAGUAUGAAUGUUUAGAAGGGUUAUAAAAUCUGAAUUUUCCAACGUUAGAUUGCAGUAGAAUAGCCAUUUUUGUUUUGUUAGCCUAUUUGUCCUACAUUUUAUGUGAAGGGUCACAAAACAACAAGUCUUUCUUUGACUUUGCUGUUUUCCUCUGACUUGAUGAUCUUCUAUAAAAGGGAUAAGAAUCAACUAUUUUGGAAGCUAAGAAAACUGAUAAACAGCAAAUGGUAGCCAUCCAUGGGGGGGGGGGUCUUUGCUCAAAUAUUUGCUGACCAAAGCAAACAUCAGCACCAACUAUGGUUUCCUGUCCAAUAAUCAGCAUAGACCCACAUCACCAUCACUAUAGAACAGUUAAUUGUCUCAGUCCUAAUUUUCACACAGAGCACAUGCAAACUAUUCAUGUUUUAUAACACAUUUUUGAGGAGAAAUCCAGGAUAACUCAAACUGCUGAGUCUUUAAUAGUGAAAUGCAGAAAUUAAGUUUAGUUCAUUUUAAUUUUUGAAAUUCUACCCUGAGGGGUGUGGCAGGUAAAGGUAUGGUCCAGCUGUGUGCAGGGGGUGUUCAGUCACUAGCUCUUUUUAUGUGACGUAGGUAAUCACCAACAUCAAGGAGAAGGUAAAAGGACUUGUGGAAUACCUCCUUACUUUCCAUCUUUUCACCUCUACCCAGAGAGUUUCUAUGAAACGAAGGAAAUGACCCCCCCAAAGGAAACAAAGCUGUGCAGAAUUCUGAGGAAGUCAAGGGCCUUGAAAAACAGCAAAGAGGCUGGUGAAUGGAAAGCUAUGACGUACAAGAGAAAGCAGAAAACAAAAGUCAGCACUGCCAGACAGGUUUUUUUUUUCACAGGGAAAAUCCGGUUCCUUUGGAGAAGCAACAACGCACUGUGCGUGAGACAAGAACACAGUCUCAGGCUGGAGAGAACCCGUCAUGAAAGAGACAGAUGGAAAGGGUCCGGGAGGAGGAGGAAGAACAAGCGCUGCGGCCUUGGAGCAGCACAGCAGAAACAAAGCCCCGAUAUCCCCCCAGAACCGGCUUCCAGACCUGUGCCAGCACGUACACUGGAGAGACAGGGCCUCAAGGGCAAAGACCGGGUCUCACAAGCGCCCGCUCAACCAAGGGACAGGCGAGAGCAACGAGGAGGAGCCAACAAUUGAGUGGAGAAACAGUGAUGUCAUCCGACCAGUCUUUCUACACAAAGCCUCCAGGUGAACCUAAUGAAGCUGGGCAGUUUAUUUACAGCUCUUGCCAAUGAUGGAAAGUACACAGAGGCCUCUCUGUGACUCUCCGGGCCAAGGAAGAUUAAAUGCAGAAAGACAGAUGGCCCUUCCCAACAUCCACGGGACUAAGACGCCGCCAUCUCAGGAAGUUCUCAGGAAGAUGGUUUUAAAUAGAUGUGGCAACUCCUCCUGUCAGCACGUCCCUCAACCUCUCCAUGUAGAAACCUGCUAUCAGCUACGGGCAGCCCCAAGCUGCUAUGGUGACAGCCCUGAAUUGUCACUCUAACUAGGAGACCAGAGGCGCGUUAUUUUGCAAAGAGAAGUUUCCCAACCAGAUAAAUUCGCAAGCAGAAAUAACCAAAUUCAAAUGUUCGAUCUGAUUUUACCAAAUACCACUAGUAUCCUAUAAUUUUCAAAACGCCACAUGUAUCAUCCUUGAAUAAGAUAUAUUCGUUAGAAAUAUUAAUGAUCACGCUUCAGUCCAGCUAUUUUAACCAUCCUUCUCCUGGGGCAUGGACAUGUCCCAUAGACACACCCCGUUUUCCUACAUGCCUCCCUUUCUUGGGCUAUUCAAGCAGCCCAAGUUCAAACACUGGGGCCAGGCAUUAAAAGUAAGAGAAAUCAGAAAUUAUUUGACCAGGAUAAGUAAGUACAUGCACUGAAAGAGAUCAGGGCAGUUAAAUCCUACCCAAAAUCCAAGAGAUCUUUGGAGUAUUCUUUCAGAAAACAGGAAACCUGGGUUUUCUUUUGGACUCUGUCAUUCCAAGUUUCUCCAUCACCUCUGCCAUCUGUAAAAUGCUGACUGUACCAACCCCCCUCCAUCUGUAUCUCGGGCACAUUCAGAAUGGUUCCAAUUAAUUAUAGAUGAGUGCUCUAAAUUCCUCGGGAGAUGAGCCACAGGACUGCAGGACACUGCACCACGCGGUUUUGCUUAUUUCAAAGGAGUGCAACACCCCCUCCCCGCAGCCUCCUAUCUCCCACCAGCCUUUCAAAGAUCAGCCUAAGGCUACAACAAUAACCGAGCAACUGUAAAGCUUGGAUACUCCCAGACAGGAGCCUACCUCUUGAUCGGUGAAAAUCUCUAUGAAGUUCUGGAAGGAGAAAGAGCCGGACUGGAGAAUGAGCUCUCCGGUAUUUUCAAAGCACUGCCCCGUCAACACGAGCAGCUUGUGUCGGGCGGCGUCCGUGAUCAUUAAGCGCACCUGAAACAAAGCACGGGGAGCAUGAGCCAUGGGGGGCGCUGGAAUCCCACCUUCAGGAUCAGGCUGGCCCUUGGAGCUCUUGAAGUUUCUUACCAACAAGAAUUACGCGUUCCCCGGUAUUCACUUUGCCCCUGGGGUGCUGGACAGAGCCAAUGACUGUGGUCACCAGCUGCCCAUGAAUGCCAUUUUCCAAAUCUGGCCACCACCAAGACAGUAGUAGGAGUUAACUUUCUCCCCUUAGUUUCCUUGUCUUUUUCAAAGCAGUCUCCACAGCUGGCAAUCAUUUGUUGCACAGCUGUGCCUACUAGCAGCGUGCAGUCCGUGAGACAUGAGUAUCUCACAGGCUGACUCACCAAGUACAGUCCAGGUCUCCCAACUGCUGCCUCAGGAAACAUAGGUUUCCAGCUAGGGUCCCAAGUCAGCCCCUCCCACCCAGGACCCCUUUCCUGCCAAGCCAUACACCGAACACACAGCUCCCAAAGCAGUCUCCAAUGGGAUCAGCAAGGUGCCUAACGUUGAACUUGAACAUAAACAAAAGGCUGCCCUGAUUGGGAAUCUUUUAAAUAGAAUUGUAAACGGUUUGCACGAAAGAACUCUCUGUUCUUUAAGUGGCAGGGAGCCAGCCUGUCCUUCAGCAGAAAUACCACUCCAAGCACCAAGGUUAUUCAUUCUGAGCCCAACUCAGUUCAGCACAAAGUGACUGCCAGGCAUCAUGCUAGGCACUAAGGGAGGGAUGCAAAGUAAACAGGACGUGACCCACUGUCCCCACAAACCCCAGGAUCCAGGGAAAUGCACAUGUACCGAAGUAAUUGUUCCAGCCCCAUCUGCUCCACAGGCAAGCCUGGGUUCCUUAAAGAAAUUCCUCAUUUUUUCCUUCUUCAUUUCUCACAGCUGUUCCAGGCAAUCUGCCUGCACAUAUAUUCAACCUCCAGCUUUUUUCAAGUUGUAUCUACUUCCUGAUCCUGAUGGCCAAAGACAGAUUGCUAGCCCAUCACUUGCCUCACCUUGUACCUUCAGGGAUUGUCAGAGAGGUCCUGCUCAUCUGGAGCAGAUGAAAUGGGAUCAAAACAGGCUAUAUAAUGAGAGCCACAAAGUGGAAGCAAACCAAAUGUCCAUCAACUGAUGAAUGAAUAAAUAAAAGUGGUAUACCCAUACAUUGGAAUACUAUUCUGUCAUAAAAAGGAAUGAGGUACUGAUACGGGCUACGAUGUAGAUGCCUCUGGAAAACACUACGUAAAGUGAAAUAAGCCAGACACAAAAGGCCACAUAUCAUAUGAUUCCACUGUCUGAAAUAACGUGCUCAGAACAGGAAAAUCCAUAGAGGCAAAAAGUAGAUUAGUGGUUGCCGGUGGUUGGGGGAAUGGGGGUGACUGCUAAUGGGCUUGGGGUUUAGGGGGCUGAUGGACACAUUCAGGAAUUAGAUACUGAUGAUAGUUGCACAAUACUGUGAAUAGACUAAACCCCAAGGAACUACAUACUUUAAAAGGAUGGAUUUUAUGGCGUGUGAGUUAUAUCUCAAUUUUGAAAAACAAGCUACAGUCACAGAGAUGCUCAGCAUGGGAGAAGAGAUGCUGUGGAUGGUGCAGGCCCCUGGGCCUGUGGCUAUUCUAACUAACAUCCAAGAAGCAACUCAAUCUCAAAGGUACCAAACUGCAGUAAAGACAGUGGGAAACGGAGGUGGAACAAUUCUUCUACCCUGGGUGAGCAGGGAUUCUUGGCGUCAGCCUAGUUCCUACCUUACAGUAGGCUCUGAAAUACCCACUCUCUCUGGCAACAAUUUCAUAUGGUGGUAAUACAAAUAUUAAUACUGAGAAAAGCCAACAUAUAUGUUUCGGUUGUCGUAUGCCAUGCUGUGUUCUAAGCACUUGACACUUCUGGACACAAAACUAAAUGUCAGUGCUAUUAUGAUCUCCAUUUUAUAGAGGUGGAAUGAGACAAAGAGAUGGUCAAUGACUUGCCCAAGGCCGCCAGCUAAUAAGUGGCAGAACCCAGGCAGUCCAGCAGCAGAGGCCGUGCCCCUGGCAGCUGUGCUGCCCUGCCUUUCAACAGUGCUAAGGGGGUGGGCAAGAUGCUCUGAAGGAGGCUUGCAUCUGAGAAGCCAUUGUUCUCCAAAUUUGGGUCAUGAAGGUCUCAGCCUGAAGGCUUGCAGUCUCCUUCCCCUGCUACCUCCCAGCCAGACUCCAUCCCAGCAGCACACCCUCCAGGUAUACCCCCACAUUCCACACCCGCUUCACCUCUACAAAAUACUCCAGUUCUGGCCAGCAUCUUCCACUCCGUCCUUACUGAAAGGGGCAGUCUCGGGUGGUACUGAUGCAGAGAACCAGCCACUGACUAGGGGUAUGGAGGCAUCCCUGGACCCAGAACCUGUCUCUCCCUUGUCCCUCUCUUGCCACCUGCCCAGCCCCUCUCAUCAGCUGGGUCUCCGUCCACUGUGUGAGGCCCUGCGGAGCCAGAUACUUACCUCAGUGCUGACUGCUUCAUCUGAGGGGUUGAUCAGGACCACUGUUUCUAAAACGUCACUUCUGUGAUGAAG
RNA transcript from Aethalodelphis obliquidens (Pacific white-sided dolphin), 7995 nucleotides. It is a transcript of the gene named mitochondrial ribosomal protein S27, with no coding region annotated. Lineage: Eukaryota; Metazoa; Chordata; Mammalia; Artiodactyla; Delphinidae. The transcript has 18 exons. The record is from RefSeq and is a predicted model, not a curated record.